UAUCGUCAGCAAACUUGCUGAUAUAGUUUUCAAUGCCCUCAUCUAAAUCAUUGACAUAAAUCGUAAAGAGCUGUGGUCCCAAUACAGAGCCCUGUGGUACCCCACUAGUCACCUCCAGCCAGUCUGAGAAACACCCAUUCACUGCUACCCUUUGCUUUCUAUCUGCCAACCAGUUUUCUAUCCAUGUUGAAACCCUGCCCCCAAUGCCAUGAGCUCUGAUUUUACUCACCAAUCUCCUAUGUGGCACCUUAUCGAAUGCCUUCUGAAAAUCUAGGUACACAACAUCCACUGGCUUACCCUCAUCUAACAUCCUUGUUACACCCUCAAAAAACUUAUGGAUUGAAGACUAUGCUACGUGAACGCCCUCAGGCAAAGUGGGCUGGUUGAGGGAGGGAUUGCAUCACCCUCAACCUGAUUGACAUCUGCGACCAUUAGAUGUUGUGUAAUUAGAUUAGAUGUUGUGUAAUAACCCAGAUCUUAUUAGGGAGCUUAAUGUAAAGGAACCCUAAGAUAACAGUGAUCAAAAUAUGAUUGAAUUCAUCCUACAAUUUGAGAGGGAGAAGCACAAAUUACAUAAAUCAGUAUCACAAUGGAAUAAAGGGAGUUACAGAGGCCUGAGAGAGAAAUUUGUCAGGGUGGAAUGAAAGGUUGUACUGGAAGGGAUGAUGGCAGAGCAGAGACAGCUGGAGUUUCUGGGAAUAUUCACAAGGUGCAGGAUAGAUAUAGACACCAAAAGUGAGUGGGAAGUUGGAUGAUUGGGAAGCUUUUAAAAUCCAACAAAAGGUCCCCCAGCCUCCCAGACAACCAUAUCUGCACCAGGUGUGUCGAGCUGCAGUUCCUGAGGGUCCAGGUUAGGGAACUGGAGAUGCAGCUCGAUGACCUUCACCUGGUCAGGGAAAGUAAGGAGGUGAUAGAAAGUUAUAGGCAGGUGGUCACACUGGGGCCAUGGGAGACAGACAAGUGGGAUCAGACAGUCAGGAGGGGAAAGUGGAAGAGUCAGGUACUAGAGAGUACCCCUGUGGCUGUACCCCUUGACAAUAAGUAUUCCUGUUUGAGUACUGUUGGGGGGAGGGAACAGCCUACCUGGGGGAAGCGACAGUGGCCAUGCCUCUGGCAUAGAGUCUGGCCCUGUGGCUCAGAAGGGUAGGGAAGGGAAGAGGAAGGCAGUAGUGAUAGGGGACUCUUUAGUUAGGGGUUCAGACAGGCGAUUCUGUGAUACAGGAAAGAAACUCGGAUGGUAGUUUGCCUCCAAGGUGCCAGGAUCCGGAAUGUUUCAGAUUGCAUUCAAGAUAUCCUGCGGUGGGAGGGAGAACAGCCAGAAGUCGUGGUACGUAUUGGUACCAAUGACAUAGGUAGGAAAAGGGAAGAGUUCCUGAAAAAAGACUACAGGGAGUUAGGAAGGAAGUUGAGAAGCAGGACUGCAAAGGUAGUAAUCUCAGGAUUACUGCCUGUGCCAUGCGACAGUGAGAAUCGGAAAAGGAUGAGGUGGAGGAUAAAUGUGUGGCUGAGGGAUUGGAGCAGGGGGCAGGGAUUCAGAUUUCUGGAUCAUUGGGACCUCUUUUGGGAUAAGUGUGGCCUAUAAAAAACACCCAGUAGAGUUAUUACCCCCUUCCUGCUUCUGAUUUCUACCCACAAUGACUCAGUAACCACAUAACAACUAUAGCACAGAAACAGGCCAUUUUGGCCCUUCUAGUCCAUGCCGAACACUUACUCUCACCUAGUCCCACUGACCUGCACUCAGCCCAUAACCCUCCAUUCCUUUCCUGUCCAUAUACCUAUCCAAUUUUUUUUUUAAAUGACAAAAUCGAACCUACCUCUACCACUUCUACUGGAAGCUCGUUCCACACAGCUACCACUUUCUGAGUAAAGAAGUUCCCCCUCGUGUUACCCCUAAACUUUUGCCCCUUAACUCUCAACUCAUGUCCUCUUGUUUGAAUCUCCCCUACUCUCAAUGGAAAAAGCCUAUCCACGUCAGAUCUAUCUAUCCCCCUCAUAAUUUUAAAUACCUCUAUCAAGUCCUCCCUCAACCUUCUACACUCCGAAGAAUACAGACCUAACUUGUUCAACCUUUCUUUGUAACUUAGGUGCUGAAACCCGGGUAACAUUCUAGUAAAUCUCCUCUGUGCUCUAUUUUGUUGACAUCUUUCCUAUAAUUCGGUGAUUGAUCAUAGAUAAAGGUGACAAUCAACAACAGACCCAGCAUUGAACCCUGCAGCACUUCAUUAGUCACAGAACUCCAGUCAGAAAGAAAACCAUAGAACAUAGAACAUAGAAACCUACAGCACAUUACAGACCCUUUGGCCCACAAUGUUAUGCUGACCAUGUAACCUACUCUAGAAACUGCAUAGAAUUUUCCCACUGCAUAGCCAUUCUAUUUUUCUAAGGUCCAUGUACCCAUCUUAAAAGACCCUAUUGUAUGCACCUCUACCAUUGUUGCUGGAAUGCAUUCUGUUCACCACUGUUCACUCACUGUGUGAAUAACUUACCUCUGACAUCCCCUCUAUACCUACUUCCAAGCACCCUCCUUUUAGUCAUAACCCAGGUAACAUUCUAGUAAAUCUCCUCUGUACUCUCUCUAUUUUGUUGACAUCUUUCCUAUAAUUCGGUGACCAGAACUGUAACAGUAGAUAAUCCCUCCAUGACUUCCUCCUUUUCUGCAGCUGUGGUACUAUGCCUGAUUAGCAAUGUCACUCUCCCACCUUUUUUGCCUCCUUCCUCUUCCUUUUUGAAACAUCUAAAGCCUGGCACACUCAACAGCCAUUCCUGCCCACGAGUCAUCCAAGUCUCUGUAAUGGCCAUAAACAGAGAAUUGUAGGUAUAGGAUUUAAUGAACAUUUUGAAAAUCAUGAACGAAAUAGGGACCUUGUGCUAGGCAACUCGUAAAUUUUGAGUUUUUCAAGGUGUAAAGGUGAAUGAUGAAGCAAGAGCAAAGGAAGUUGUCUCAAUGGAUUUUAAACAACUUUAAAUGUACAGCUUUAUAAAAGUCUUCUUAUGCUAAACCUAGAAUAUUGUAUUAAUUUCUGAUCGCCCCAUUAUAGAAAGGAUUUGCAGAAGGUGCAGAAGAGGUUUACAGAAUGCUGCCUGAUUCAGAGCUCUCUCUAUGAUGAGAGCUCGUAUAAAUUUAGUUAGGUGGAAAUUUGUAAGAUCUUGAGUGCAUUUUUUCAUAGUCAAAAUGUCUAAUACUAGAUGGUAUGCAAUUAAAUUGAGAAGAGGAAAACUCAAAGGUGAGAGGGGACAGUUUUUUUCUCCAUACAGAGCAUGAUUGGUGCCUGGAAUGCACUGACGGGGUGGUUGCUGCAAAAUGAUAGAGGCACUUAGUUGGCUUUUAGAUAGACACAUAAAUAUGUAGAGAAUUGAGGGAUAUGGAGCAUUUUGUCGGCAGAACAGAUUAGUUGUCUUUUAUUUACUACGUUAAUUCGUUUGGAACAACAUUAUGGGCUGAUGAGCUUGUUUCUGUGCUAUUCUAUGUUCUACAUCAAUUUUAGCUAAUCUGUCCCCUUUAUACAUCUACAGAAACUCUUAAGGCCAGUUUCUACAUUUUGCUCUAUUUGCUCACUCAUUUUAUUUUCCCUCAUCUUUCAAGCUUUGAGUCAUUGUAGAAAAUAGGCACAGAACUAUAAAAGGUCAGACAUGAACAUUGCAGGGUAAAGCAGUACGAGUGGCUGAUAUCUUAUUCUUGCUUCUAAUCUUUGUUAUUUUUUCACAGGGCACUGGCAUGAUGGCACUAUCAGGGUUACAAGAGAAAAAAUUAACAAAUAGAUUAAACAGUGCUGUAACAUGUACUGUAGUUUAAGGGCAUGAAGACAAUGGUCUGUUUGCUUUGCUGUUUGGGCGUUGCAUUGCACUAACGGAAAGUAUUAAACAUACAUCUGGUACAAUACAAACAGGAAUUACGUUUCUGAAGGGAUUAUUCCAUGGAGCCGGGAAUCUUACUGGAAAACAAAGAAAAACGUGCGAAAAAUCUGCCUGACAAACUCAGCACAGGCCCUUCGUAGAAUCUCCACCUUGGUACUGUAUCAAAGGAAUUUAACUACUAUUGAGCGUGGCUUAUCUUCUGUCUCGGGAAGGCUGCGGGAUGAUUGCACGAUGUGCCCUCUCAGUUUCCAGCUCCAUAGUCAGAGGACUUCCCAGCGUGUCCCGAAGCAACUUUCGUACAAACUCCAUCAUAGACAAACCCUCCGCUCCUUUGGGAACGUUGUAUAUCCUGAUAUUUUUCUGCCAUGAUCUUCCCUCCAGGUGAAAUGACAGCCCUGGAAUUAAUCUUGUCAAUGGCAUAGACCUUUCCCUGGGCAGAGGCCACGGUCUGGGCAUGCAGGAAGAACAUACAAAGGUCAUCUAUAGAAGAAGAGACCUGUUGAGGGGGGAGAGGGCAAAGGGAAACUGUCCUUCCCUGGCAUUAGUCUCCCUUCUUAGCAGAAGAAUGAAGGCCAAGCAGAAUACUGGAAGAGGAUUGUAGGAAGGAUGAUCCAUACCAAUGAUGUGCUGAUCCCAAACAUACAGCACGGUUUCCAUGUUCAGGUAUCCUAUAAAUAUAGGGGAGUAAUAUGUCUAUGUCUACGAGAAGUGGAAAGAAUCUGCAUGAACCUUCUGAUAAAGGUAAUGGAAAAGGAACGAUGCCUAAGGAAAGAUCUGAUGAAAUGCCAUCAUGGGCUGAAGAUAUCGUUUGGACUCUGAAUUCAAUUCAAGAUCAGAACAGGGCAAUUAAAGAUCAACUGGAAAAGAAUAAUAAUGAAAUGUACUUUUUUUUGGGAAAACUUAAGAUGUGGAAACUCAAGUUACUAAACAUGAAGAGGAAUUGGAGUUAACUAAGCAAAAAUUGUCUGAAACUACAACCGGUUUGGAAAAAUAUCAAAAUAAGAUUAUAGAUCCGGAAACUAGGUCUCACUGAAACAAUAUAUGAAUUGUUGGAUUGCAAGAAGGAACUGAAAAUGGAGACUUAACGGUUUACUUUGGUAAGCUCUUUCAAACUCUAUUUCCGACUAUUUUAUCACAGCUGCCUGCUAUUGAAAGAAGGUUGUCUACUUCAAAAUUUAAAGACUCCACCAGACCAAGAUUUAUUUUGGUUUGUUUUCAUCACUUUAAAAUUAAAGCUCAAAUAAUGCGACAGGCAAGAAAACAAAGAGUUUUCAAAUUCAACAAGUCUGAGCUCCGUUUUUAUGAAGAUUAUCCGAAAGAAGUAAUGGAACAAAGAUCAAGAUUUGCUUUGGUAAUGGAACAAGCAUAUGAUAAGAAACUAUUUCCCUCUUUGAGUUACCCAACAAGAAUGAAAGUCUUUCCUCCUAAUUCUUUUCCAUGUACUUUCUUCGACCCAAAAGCCGCACUGGAUUUUGUUCAGGCUAUACCUGUCACUGUCGCUGAUGUUACUACCAAAAAAACUAUCUGAAAAGCUGUUUGAUUAUCUGUAUAUUAUUCACAUUUCGAAAAGAAGAUAUAUGAAGGCUAUUUGGAUAUUUCAUUGAGAGAUUAAUAAAAGAAGAUAAGAAAACCUGCUCAUCAUUACAUCCUACUGGAUUAUUUUUGGGAAGAAGAUUUACUGUUCAAUUUUGACUGUUUAAAUGGCUAAUUAGAUAUUUGACUGAGAAAAGAGGAUAAAAGGAUUUGUUCCUUUUAUCUAAUAUUUGGUUUGAUGUUUCUUUUUGUUGUUUCUUAAUUUACUAAUUUUUAGUUUUUUUUCCUAAUAAUAGGGUUUCUUUUUAUAUAUAUCUGGGAGGGUAUAGUUACUUAUGAUAUUCCUAAUUAAUAUUUUUGUAAAUUUAGUUCAGUUAAAUAUACUAUUAACCUUUUUUAUCUGUUUUAUUACAGCAUCCUAUAACCAAAUUUAGAGUUUUCUUUGAGAUUUAAAACUAAACUUAAGAUGGCACUGGUUUUUCUCUUUAAGAGAUUAUAUUAUUUUGGUUCUUUUUUUUGUUUAAUAUAUGAUGGAAUGUAAACGUUCCCCUUUGUUGAAAUGUUACUGUCUUUCUUGCAAGGUCAUUUUAUUUUUUUGUGUACUGGCUGGGCGGAGGGAGAGACAAGACUGACAGAGUGGCCCAUGGCUUUGUAUUCUAUCUUAGUUUGUUUGCCUUUUUUUCCAGGCUUUUGGGAGGGUGGGUGGGUUUAGAGUUAGGAGCUUUUGCCCAUUGGGUGGUUCCGGAGCAUGCGUGUUUUUUAUAUGGUUGUAUUCUUCAUCACUGCCAUCUUUGAUAAUCCCAUAUUGGUAUGUGUUCUGCGCAUGUAUAAAGUAAAUUAGAAUAAAAUUAUAGUAUGGCAAUUAAACGGCUUAAUGUAAUAAGUUGGAAUGUACGUGGUUGGAAUCAUCCUAUUAAACGAGAAAAGACUUUUAAAAUUAUUAAUCAAUUCCAACCUAAUUUUUGCUCAGGAGACACAUAUCAGGGCGGGAGAUCAAAACAGAUCAAAAAAGAUCAAAAUCUUUUUGGAUGGUGGAAUGGAUUAGAGCUCCAUGCUACUUCUCAGAGUCAAACUAAAGGUGUAUCUAUCUUUAUUAAAUCUAAUAUAUUUACUCAAGAGGAUAUUGAAUCAGAUUCUAAUGGUAGAUUUUUAAUUGUUAAAGGAGUGAUUUGUAAUAGAAAGGUUGUUUUGGUCAUUUUGUAUGGUCCUAAUUUAGAUGAUCCUUCUUUUUUUAAAGAAGUAUUUGCUUUAUUGCCAGAUUUAAAUGAAUAUAUGUUGAUAAUGGGUGGGGAUUUUAACUGUUGUUUAAAUCCCAUGAUUGACAAGAGCUCAACUGAUCAGCGACUUCCAAAUCAUUCUGCAUCAGUUAUUAACUCCUUCUUGACCGAUUUUGGGUUGAUUUAAUUAUGGAGGCAUUUGCACCCUGAUAACAGAAAAUAUUCAUUUUUUUCACAUGUUUAUAAAAACAUUUGGGGAUUGAUUAUAUUAUAAUUGAUCCCUGCCUUUUGCCUAAUGUUAAAAACUGUGAAUAUGACACUAUUGCUAUAUUUGAUCAUGCGCCUUUGAGUUCUUCCUUUGAAUUUGAUUAUGUCAUUUUUGCCCGUCCACCAUGGCACAUGUCUCAGACUUUAUUGGAAAACUCUGAUUUUAUCAGUUUUAUUCAAAGCCAGAUAAAAUAAAUUUUUCUUUUUAAUGAUAUAGGAGGUAUGUCCAAAUUAAUUAUAUGGAAUACAUUCAAAGCAUUUUAUGUAGUCAAAUUAUUUCUUAUUCAGCUAAACUUAAAAAACAGACUAAAGUAGAAUUAGAUAAAAUUUCAAAACAAAUUAAAGAUUUAGAUAAUACCUAUGUGACUUCCCGUAAUAUUGACUUAUUUAAAAAAAGGGUGGAACUUCAAUCACAAUAUAACCUAUUAUUAACAUCCAAUUGAAGGCUGUCUACUUAAGUUAAAGAGCCAAUUUUAUAUGUUUGGAGAUAAAAAUAAUAAACUACUUGCAUCUCAAUUAAAAUCGGCUGGAGCCAAAAGGCAAAUUUUGAAAAUUCGUAGAAAGGAUGGUACCCUGGCUCGGGAGUAUGAAGAAAUUAAUAAGAUUUUUCAAGAUUUUUAGAUGGAACUUUAUAAAUCUCAAUGUCCAGUAGAUUCUUCUGAAAUGAAUGCCUUUUAAUGAAAGAUUGCUUUUCCUAAAAUUUCUGCUGAGGACCAAAAAUCUCUUGAUGCCCAAAUUACUGAAUCCAAAAUUCAAAAAGCUAUUUUUUCAAUACAAUCUGGUAAGGCCCAGGGACUUGAUGAUUAUCCUGUAGAAUUUUAUAAAAAUUUGGAAAAUUGCUUUCUCCAUAUAUGUUGGAGAUUGGUUUAAAGAUUCUUUUGUGAAAAGUGAUUUAUCCUCUACUUUUUAUGAGGCUUCUAUUUCUUUAAUUCUCAAAAAGGAUAAAGAUCCUUCUGAUUGUGCCUCAUACAGACCUAUUUCAUUAUUGAAUGUUGAUGCUAAGAUUCUCUCAAAGAUAAUGGCCAAUCGGUAGGAGAGUUUAUUGGGUGAAAUCAUUUUUAAAAAUCAAACAUACUUUAUAAAGGGUUGUUAUUCUUUUUCAAAUGUUUGGAAACUAUUAUAUAUUCGCCCUCUUCUAAAACUCCACAAUGCGUUGUAUCUUUGGAUGCUGAAAAAGCAUUUGAUGGAGUCGAAUGGAAAUAUUUAAUGUUUUAAAAAAAUUUGGUUUUGGUAUUCAUUUUCAUAAUUGGAUUAAAAUAAUAUAUAAAGCUCCUAUUGCUACUGUUGUCACUAAUAAUUGUAGGUCUCCUUUUAUUCAGCUAUCACGGGGGACGACAAGGUUGUCCAUUAAGUCCUUUGUUAUUUAACUUAAUAUUAGAACCCCUGGCUAUUGCUCUUCAUGAAGCCAAAAAUAUUCAUGGGAUUUUUCUGAAUGAGACCAUGCACAAGAUCUCUCUUUAUGCUGAUGAUUUAUUAGUAUAUAUAUCUAAGCCUGAAGAAUUUAUUCCUGCUUUGCUAAAAUUAUUUGACAAAUUUGCAGAUUUUUCAGGAUAUAAAAUAAAUUUUAGUAAAAGUGAAUUACUCCCUUUAAAUGAACCUAUCUCUAUAUAUGAUAAUAUUCCUUUUAAAGUUACGGAUUCUUUUAAAUAUUUAGAUGUCAUAAUUACUAAAAAAUAUAAGGAUCUUUAUAAAGCCAAUUUUCCUCCUUUAGUGGACUCUUUGAAGUACUCAUUUAGUAGAUGGAGCCCACUUACAUUUUCACUUGUUGGUCAUAUUCACGUAGUUAAAAUGAUGAUUUUACCAAACUUUUUAUAUUUAUUUCAGAAUAUUCCUGUUUUUUGACUAAUAAGUUUUUUGAUUGGAUUAAUUCUAUUAUUCUAUCUUUUAUUUGGGAUAAUAAAAGACCAAGAAUUAGUAAAUGUCAUUUGCAAAAGUUGAAAAAGGAUGGAGGUCUCGCUUUGCCUAAUCUAAGAAUGUAUUAUUGGGCUGUCAAUUUGCAAUAUGUGUCCUUUUGGUUAUAUUGGGGUGAUAGGAAUGAUCAGCCAAUUUGGGUAGACCUGGAACUGAGAGCUGUGAAACUGUUUUAUUUAAUUUUGUUAUAAGGAGUUGCUCUACCUAUACAAUUAGCUAAAGUUGCUAAUUUAAACCUAUAUCCUGUAGUUAAGCACUCUACAAAUUUGGCUCCAGUUCCGCAAUUUUUUUAAUCUUAAAAAUUUUAAACUUUAUAGUAUAAUUUAUCAUAAUUACUUUUUUAAACCUUCCUGGAGUGAUCCAAUUUUUUUACUUUGGAAAAAUAAAGGUAUAAAUUCUUUUUUGGAUUUACUUAAAGGCAGGUUGAUGUCUUUUCAACAAUUAGUCGAUAAAUAUUUUCUCUCAUAUUCGCACUUUUUACAAUAACUUCAAAGACAUUUUUAACAAAUAUAUUUAAGUAAUUUUCCUUACAUAUUGGAGGCUGACUUGUUAGAUACUAUUAUGAAUAUGAACCCUUCAAUAAAAGAUUCUAUUGGAAGAAUUCAUAAUUUAUUAUUACAAUGGGAUAAGCGUCCUUUACUUAAGAUUAAACAGGAUUGGGAGAAGAAACUCAAUUUGAUUUUUAUAUGGGAGGAUUGAAUGCAGAUUCUGAAGCUGGUUAACUUUUCUUCGAUCUGCGCUAGUCAUUCACUGAUUUAAUUUAAAAUUGCACAUCAUUACCAUUUGACGAAGGAGAGACUUUCUAAAAUAUUUCCCAAUGUUGAAAAAUAUUGUGAUAGAUGUAAAACUGAGAUAACUAUACUGACACAUAUAUUCUGGUCAGGUUCCAUAUUAAAACAGUUUUGGAAGUCAGUCUUUUUGACAAUUUCUAAAGCACUCAGAAUCAAUUUACAACCUAAUAAAUUGACUGUGCUUUUUGGAAUAAUUCCUCAAAAUAUCCAUGGUAUUUCUGUGACUGACCAACAUGUUAUUAUAUUUGUUACAGUGAUACCUAGGAGGGCCAUCUUGUUGAAAUGAAAGGAUAUAUCAGCUCCUACUUUGUCACAAUGGUUCUCUCAAGUGAUGCUGUGUCUUAGCUUGGAGAAAAUUAGAAGUCAAACCUUUGAACCUUUAUUUGAUUUUGAGAAGAGAUGGGGCUCAUUUGCUCAUUAUUAUCAUUUCAGUUAACUGAUAGAUUUCCUCCACAAUCUAAGUGUAAAUUUUGUAUUUCUUGAUAUAUCUUUCUUUCUUGUUGGCAGCUUGAUGCUUAUUUUUAGAAGCUUUUUGUAUGACAUAUGGCUCCGGGGUUGUACCCCCCAAUAGGUUUCUUUUUUUUUUUCUGUCACUUUUCUUGCUUAGUAGGGUUUUUUUUUUAUUCACAAAAAAUUUCUAUCUUUAAGAUAAUUUCUUUUUUCUUGAGGCAUUGUAAGUGUGGUUACUUCGAUGUACCUGUGUUAUUUUUGAAUAAUAAUA
This is a long non-coding RNA of Hypanus sabinus (Atlantic stingray), 10295 nucleotides long. RefSeq lists it as uncharacterized. NCBI's taxonomy places the organism in Eukaryota, Metazoa, Chordata, Chondrichthyes, Myliobatiformes, Dasyatidae. The transcript has 7 exons. The record is from RefSeq and is a predicted model, not a curated record.